UCCAGACUUCUUCUGUCAUGUUCUUCAUCAAUCAAAAUCCCUAACCAAAACCAAACACCGGCAACUCUUUCUCAUGCAUCAUCAAAUAAUUGUUUUCAUUAAAAGACCCCUGAAGACUUGUCAAACAUGCAUGCUUUGCCGUGUCAUUUGACUUCAGCCCUAUAGUGUAACAAAGAUCAUAAACACGUUGUGACAUGAGGGAACCCAUAAUAGAAAACAAACCAACUGUUCCUUAGCAUGGAUUGAGAACUAAUCAACCAGGCAUGUUGUGUUUUGUGAAGUCAUGGGACAUAACCCUCAGUAACACCUGAGAUGGGUUUGAAUGAUACUCACAAUUAUGACACGAAGGGUAGAUGAGGGCCUUUUAAAAGCGGUUUAAUUUCAGUAAAUGUUUAAUUACUUUAAUGUUAGUGACCCAAAUCUUUUUUGGACUUCCAAAUUACAAUUCCAAGACAGCCUUUAUUCAAAAUGAUUGGCUCAAGUAUGCUGUGUUGUUUAACGGUAUGACCACUUUCUACAAGCAAUCCUGGGGCCUCUGUCAGGGGAACGGGCCCCUAGCGGCCAUUUAUAUCAACAACGCCUCCAGUGGGCUCUGGUCUGGCUCUGGGCGUUCUGGUGCAUGUUCUCCAUCUGGACCAGUGAUGCUGCAUGCGGUCGUAGAACCGGCAUGAGUCCAUCUGCAUGUCACCCAAUGAAACGCUCCGGAAUAUGUGGUGAAAUCCCUCCCAAACUGACUUGUAUCCACUAAUGUGCAAGUUCUCUCCUGCUGAAGGAUCCGGACUUCUGAUUUUGAAGCAUGCACCCUCCAGCUCUUGCCUAGUGAGUCAACAGUGUUGAGGACUUGGGGGAUUGACCUGCGUUUGGACCCCCCAGGGUAUUUGACGGGCAGCGAACUGCCCGAGCAGAACGCCCCAGUGACGGCACUCCUCCCUGGGCCCGAGCUCACCGGCCUGCUGGCCCCUGAGGGGGUCGACGGUCUCGCACCGCUACCCGAAACCGUGGCGACCACUAAAGGGGACAUCGGCCAGGAGUUGGUGCCAGAGAGGGCGGUCAUCCAGCACCAGCUACCGACACCCGGCGAGGGCUCUCUGGUUGAGAUCGCUAGCAAACCUGAGAAGAGUGCCGGGGCUUCCAUCAGUGUGGAGGGGUCUAAAGCUGCCAAACCAGACUGUGGACUCGCCACAGCAGGGGGCCAGUGGAUGAAGAUCCCCAGACCUGAUUAUGGAGCAGAACUGGGGCCCUCUGGUACCAACCAGAAAGGUUAUGGCGCAGGAGCUGCUUUCCUGAACAAAUUUGGAGGAAAACCAAACGGUAAUCUAUUUGAAUCUAUAUUUAAAUCUUGCACCUACAUAGCUUAACCCAUAGAGGCCACUGAUGCUAGAUAACCUGCUGAUGGAGGUGUUCUGAUUGGACAGGUCG
This 1419-nucleotide long non-coding RNA is filed under the name Gadus morhua (Atlantic cod). RNAcentral's name for it is "lncRNA (ENSGMOG00000035022.1)". The record is from RNAcentral. Lineage: Eukaryota; Metazoa; Chordata; Actinopteri; Gadiformes; Gadidae.